GACGGAGGGGGCUAGCGUUGUUCGGAAUUACUGGGCGUAAAGCGUGCGUAGGCGGCUUUUCAAGUUGGGUGUGAAAGCCCGGGGCUUAACCCCGGAAAUGCGCCCAAGACUGUUUGGCUAGAGACCGGGAGAGGUGAGUGGAACUCCGAGUGUAGAGGUGAAAUGCGUAGAUAUCGGAAGGAACAUCAGUGGCGAAAGCGACUUCCUGGACCAAUACUGACGCUCAUGUGCGAAAGCGUGGGGAGCAAACAGG
RNAcentral lists this ribosomal RNA (253 nucleotides) under uncultured bacterium. RNAcentral describes it as "partial 16S ribosomal RNA". It matches the Rfam family "Bacterial small subunit ribosomal RNA", at positions 524 to 776 of the family's 1533-position model. The record is from RNAcentral.